This 1489-nucleotide ribosomal RNA is filed under the name Lactiplantibacillus argentoratensis. RNAcentral describes it as "bacterial SSU rRNA". It matches the Rfam family "Bacterial small subunit ribosomal RNA". Lineage: Bacteria; Bacillati; Bacillota; Bacilli; Lactobacillales; Lactobacillaceae. The record is from RNAcentral.
GACGAACGCUGGCGGCGUGCCUAAUACAUGCAAGUCGAACGAACUCUGGUAUUGAUUGGUGCUUGCAUCAUGAUUUACAUUUGAGUGAGUGGCGAACUGGUGAGUAACACGUGGGAAACCUGCCCAGAAGCGGGGGAUAACACCUGGAAACAGAUGCUAAUACCGCAUAACAACUUGGACCGCAUGGUCCGAGCUUGAAAGAUGGCUUCGGCUAUCACUUUUGGAUGGUCCCGCGGCGUAUUAGCUAGAUGGUGGGGUAACGGCUCACCAUGGCAAUGAUACGUAGCCGACCUGAGAGGGUAAUCGGCCACAUUGGGACUGAGACACGGCCCAAACUCCUACGGGAGGCAGCAGUAGGGAAUCUUCCACAAUGGACGAAAGUCUGAUGGAGCAACGCCGCGUGAGUGAAGAAGGGUUUCGGCUCGUAAAACUCUGUUGUUAAAGAAGAACAUAUCUGAGAGUAACUGUUCAGGUAUUGACGGUAUUUAACCAGAAAGCCACGGCUAACUACGUGCCAGCAGCCGCGGUAAUACGUAGGUGGCAAGCGUUGUCCGGGUUUAUUGGGCGUAAAGCGAGCGCAGGCGGUUUUUUAAGUCUGAUGUGAAAGCCUUCGGCUCAACCGAAGAAGUGCAUCGGAAACUGGGAAACUUGAGUGCAGAAGAGGACAGUGGAACUCCAUGUGUAGCGGUGAAAUGCGUAGAUAUAUGGAAGAACACCAGUGGCGAAGGCGGCUGUCUGGUCUGUAACUGACGCUGAGGCUCGAAAGUAUGGGUAGCAAACAGGAUUUGAUACCCUGGUAGUCCAUACCGUAAACGAUGAAUGCUAAGUGUUGGAGGGUUUCCGCCCUUCAGUGCUGCAGCUAACGCAUUAAGCAUUCCGCCUGGGGAGUACGGCCGCAAGGCUGAAACUCAAAGGAAUUGACGGGGGCCCGCACAAGCGGUGGAGCAUGUGGUUUAAUUCGAAGCUACGCGAAGAACCUUACCAGGUCUUGACAUACUAUGCAAAUCUAAGAGAUUAGACGUUCCCUUCGGGGACAUGGAUACAGGUGGUGCAUGGUUGUCGUCAGCUCGUGUCGUGAGAUGUUGGGUUAAGUCCCGCAACGAGCGCAACCCUUAUUAUCAGUUGCCAGCAUUAAGUUGGGCACUCUGGUGAGACUGCCGGUGACAAACCGGAGGAAGGUGGGGAUGACGUCAAAUCAUCAUGCCCCUUAUGACCUGGGCUACACACGUGCUACAAUGGAUGGUACAACGAGUUGCGAACUCGCGAGAGUAAGCUAAUCUCUUAAAGCCAUUCUCAGUUCGGAUUGUAGGCUGCAACUCGCCUACAUGAAGUCGGAAUCGCUAGUAAUCGCGGAUCAGCAUGCCGCGGUGAAUACGUUCCCGGGCCUUGUACACACCGCCCGUCACACCAUGAGAGUUUGUAACACCCAAAGUCGGUGGGGUAACCUUUUAGGAACCAGCCGCCUAAGGUGGGACAGAUGAUUAGGGUG